GUGUUUAUGAAAAUGUUUAUCUUAAACAGAUACACACCUUUAGCAAAUAUAGUACAAGUGUUCAGUUUUUACUUACUAUCUCAAUAUCUUGGGCUCACUAUACAUGCUACCCUUCAACUAGAUAAGAGCCUUUGUGGCUUUUCUCUUGCGUUUGAAAUAUUUCUUUCAGUGUUUUAGGUUCUUAAAAAAAAAAAAUAAUUCCUAUAACUGAUUUUCAAUUUUCAAAUUCCACCACCAUUGUCAUACCCUAAUCCAAGUACGUACACGUGAUAAGAAACAAUCCAGAAAUCCAACAAAUUAAAGCAAUAUUUACAUACCCCAAGGUUCUUCCAAGCAACUGCAUUUAGGCUUGGCCUGCCCUUUUCUGUAUUAUACUUGCCUAUUGCACUAAAACAUAAACCAAACACAAUGAGACUGCAUCAUGAAAAGUUGAACCAGAAGAAAACAUUAUUCCAUAAAUCUCGGUGCAUGCAUAUAUAGUUUUGUUACAAGUUACCUAUUGAGAACAGACUUCCAUUCUGCCGAGGCUAUAGGUAACCGCCUCCUCAGGGGAUCCAUGUAAUACACCUUUUCUUUUUCCGGCUCCACAACAGUAAGCACCCAAUGCUGACUGUAUGACAAAGUUACCAGAUUUUGAUCAAAUAAGGCUCAUGAAUAAAAUAAAAAAAUAAAAAAUACUCUGCGUUAUAGCCACUUACUCUGAGUUAUAUGGCACCAUGAAAAGCUGUCCAGGUUUGAGGUUAUGAACCUAGCACAUAAGUGUUCAACCUUAGUCCUUACUGUUCCACAACUUUCUCCAACCAUAGCAGGGUCAACAAAGGCAAUCAUAUCCAGCAUUUUGGUGUUUUUCAGGACAUCAUACAGGUACCUAAAAACCCAAUAUAACAUCCAGAUUCUAAUCAGCAACCAAAUUCACAUGGAUACACCAAGAAUAGUCCAUUUGACAGCAAAUAUUACCUUUGAUAUGCCACUAUGCAGUUCCCAAUGAUCUCUGUCAUGCUUGCCAUUCUGUGCAAAUCAGAAUCAAAUAUCCAUGAUUUCCGAGUGUAUCCAAACACCUCAGGCUCAAUAAAAAACUCAAGACUCUUAUCAUUUUUGAGCUCAUUUGCACCCCACAUGCACAACAUCUUCAACUGGAUUGGUGCAUUAAGUGCAUCUGCCUUCU
This 1165-nucleotide long non-coding RNA is filed under the name Fragaria vesca (wild strawberry). RNAcentral's name for it is "long non-coding RNA (FVES_LNC004877)". Lineage: Eukaryota; Viridiplantae; Streptophyta; Magnoliopsida; Rosales; Rosaceae. The record is from RNAcentral.